AAAUGUGGCACCCAGAUCUGGACACAAUACUCCAGUUGAGGCCUAAACAGCACGGAGUAGAGUGGAAGAAUUACUUCUCGUGUCUUGCUUACAACACUCCUGCUCCCUUUGGCUAUUCCCAUCUGCCACAAUGUAGAGUGUAAGUUCUUUGGGACACAGACCAUCUUUUUGUUCAGCACCUGGUGUCUUGGUCCAUGCCCAGGGCUCCUAGCUACUACAGUGAUACAAACAACAGUUCCAUUGCAUAAUCAGGCUCCUCCCCCGAAAAACUCAAGCAUGUUCACUGCCCAGCUAUGAACUAACGCCAUCAAAAGAGAGAGAAGGUUGAAUCCAAGAUUGUCAAGAAAGAAACUGUAACACAUCGAACUAUAUUAUCUGAGAAGUAUGACACGAUUGUGUAAUUAAAGACGGUACAGCAAUGCCAACACAGAACAGAAUCAGUAAAGGUUAUAUAUGCAGCUUCAAAUGUGAAUUUUCCUUCUUUUUGAGUGUUUAUCCUUGCAACCUUUACCUUCUCUUAACAUAGGAUGGGGGUUUUCUUUGUUUGUUUUUGUUUUUUCAAGUGGAAAGCAGGUAGGGGUAAGGGGAGAAGAGGAUCAUCACUUCCCAGGAAUUUGAAUCACUGCAGAUUUGAAAUUAUUUGAUAUCACGUGUCAAUUCCAAGACCUGGAACUACAUGGCCAGAUGUCAUAAUGAGGUUCUGGAGCCCAGACUGGGGAUUCUUCCUACAAAGUGGGCUGCAGCUCCCACUAACACUUUUUCAUCUUAUGGAGUCCUGGCCUCAGCUCCUGCACUCUCCAAUUACACUUG
Molecule: non-coding RNA, 810 nt
Organism: Chrysemys picta bellii (western painted turtle)
Lineage: Eukaryota; Metazoa; Chordata; Testudines; Emydidae
Source: RefSeq, a predicted model, not a curated record